Struthio camelus australis is the source of this 1107-nucleotide non-coding RNA. The record is from RefSeq and is a predicted model, not a curated record. Lineage: Eukaryota; Metazoa; Chordata; Aves; Struthioniformes; Struthionidae.
UGUCUUCUUACGGGGUUUCACAUCCAUAUUUCCAGCAUCCUCUGACUUAGUCAAGGGAAAUGGCUGCAAUGAGGACAGCUGAGAUAGCACCACCAAAAACAAAAAACAGAAAACCAAAACCCUGAUCUGGUGCUUCAGACAAUCUUCUUAAAGGUGCAAUGCUUGGACUUCCUUGGGGAACGAGGAGUGCUAGCAAGAGACAGGAUCUAUUUGACCACGUAAGGUACUGAGGAGAGCUUUAAACUAUGUCCGCUUGGUGGGAUGUCGGUUUUCUCCAGUGAAGCUAAUGAAGAUAGAGGGAUCUCAGCACUUGGCAGGACUAAAUGAGUUUUCCCCCUUUCUGGUACCUGAGUCAGAAGUUAGCUUCUGUCUCCUGCUUACCAGUAGAAUGGGCUGCUUAUGGUAUCUUCAAAACUGAGAACACCACAGAUCCAUCGGAAAAAAAAAAUCAAACUUUUAAGAUACAUGAUACCUUAUUUUCAUGAGACCCACUGUUCAUCCAUAGACUCAUGAAGUUACAGGCCAAGGGAGACCUCCAGCUCAUCUACUCUUGUCUCCUGUAUCUCCAGUACCUGCCACUCUUGGUUUGAUUGGUUGAUUGGUUGGCUUUUUUCUUUUACACGAGACCACAGCAGCACUGUUGGAGGACAACCCUUCCAGUUUGGGAGCAGCGAGCAAGGUGCAGAAGCCCUGGCCCGGGAAAACGUGCCUGCGGCAUCUCCUCCAAACCCUGGGCAGAGCCGCGCUGCAGCCUGUGAAGCGACAGCUAGGGUGCACUGAUACAUAAGUGCCUGGCAACUGCUCUAAUUUAUUGCAGUAGCUGUGAUGGCUCUCCGUGAAGCCUAAAAUAAUCUAUGAGCGCUUCACAUUUUAAUAGUAUUCAUGUUGAGGGCCUCUGUGUGACUGCAGCUAUAUGAUAACAUAUGCCCCAAUCAGAUCUGCCCUUUGUGUACAAGAUGACACAAUUUGUGCAUAGUUAGCCAUGAGGGAGACAGAGAUUACCCAUUUCCAGUGCAGGCAACAGAGGGUCUACCAGCCUCUUGUAUAUACCAAAGAGAGGAGUAUUUCCAUUUUUCAGAUGUGCGUUUACACCCUCAGAGCACAACA